UACGUAGGGACCGAGCGUUGUCCGGAAUCAUUGGGCGUAAAAGAGCGUGUAGGGCGGCCACUUAAGUCCUGCGUGAAAUCUUGCGGGCUCAACCGCAAGCGGUCGUGGGAAACUGGGUGGCGUAGAGUGCGGGAGAGGAGAGUGGAAUUCCUGGUGUAGCGGUGAAAUGCGUAGAUAUCGGGGAGGAACACCUGUGGCGAAAGCGGCUCACUGGACCACAACUGACGCUGAUGGCGCGAAAGCUAGGGGAGCAAACAGGG
Molecule: ribosomal RNA, 260 nt
Filed under: uncultured bacterium
Lineage: Bacteria
Description: partial 16S ribosomal RNA
Rfam family: Bacterial small subunit ribosomal RNA
Source: RNAcentral